RNAcentral lists this ribosomal RNA (492 nucleotides) under uncultured bacterium. RNAcentral describes it as "partial 16S ribosomal RNA". It matches the Rfam family "Bacterial small subunit ribosomal RNA", at positions 29 to 507 of the family's 1533-position model. The record is from RNAcentral.
AGUGAACGCUGGCGGUAGGCCUAACACAUGCAAGUCGAACGGCAGCACAGUAAGAGCUUGCUCUUACGGGUGGCGAGUGGCGGACGGGUGAGGAAUACAUCGGAAUCUACUUUUUCGUGGGGGAUAACGUAGGGAAACUUACGCUAAUACCGCAUACGACCUACGGGUGAAAGCAGGGGAUCUUCGGACCUUGCGCGAUUGAAUGAGCCGAUGUCGGAUUAGCUAGUUGGCGGGGUAAAGGCCCACCAAGGCGACGAUCCGUAGCUGGUCUGAGAGGAUGAUCGGCCACACUGGAACUGAGACACGGUCCAGACUCCUACGGGAGGCAGCAGUGGGGAAUAUUGGACAAUGGGCGCAAGCCUGAUCCAGCCAUACCGCGUGGGUGAAGAAGGCCUUCGGGUUGUAAAGCCCUUUUGUUGGGAAAGAAAAGCAGCAGGUUAAUACGCCGCUGUUCUGACGGUACCCAAAGAAUAAGCACCGGCUAACUUCGUG